Podarcis lilfordi (Lilford's wall lizard) is the source of this 69-nucleotide non-coding RNA. Lineage: Eukaryota; Metazoa; Chordata; Lepidosauria; Squamata; Lacertidae. The record is from the annotation of a GenBank genome assembly.
GUCAUUGCUCAGGGAUAGAACAUCUGCUUUGCAUACAGAAAGUCUCAGGUUCAAUCCCUGGUAUCUCCA